Ochotona princeps (American pika) is the source of this 1419-nucleotide RNA transcript. It is a transcript of the gene named prostaglandin reductase 2, with no coding region annotated. The record is from RefSeq and is a predicted model, not a curated record. The transcript has 10 exons. Lineage: Eukaryota; Metazoa; Chordata; Mammalia; Lagomorpha; Ochotonidae.
ACUGCAUAAACAGAAAUGAUUGUGCGAAGGGUGGUGUUGAAUUCUCGACCUGGAAUAAAUGGUAUUCCAGUGGCAGAGAAUUUCCGAGUGGAAGAAGUCAGUUUACCAGAUACUGUCAAUGAAGGAGAAGUGAAAGUUAAAACUCUCUACCUUUCUGUGGAUCCUUACAUGCGUUGUAGGAUGAAUGAAGACACUGGUUCUGACUAUCUUACGCCUUGGCAGUUGUCUCGAGUGGUUGAUGGUGGAGGUGUUGGGGUUAUAGAAGAAAGCAAACACACACAUUUGACUCAAGGAGAUUUUGUGACUUCUUUUACCUGGCCCUGGCAAACCGAGGCUAUUCUGGAUGGAAAUAGCCUUGAAAAGGUAGUCCCACCACUUGUAGAUGGGCACCUUUCCUAUUUUCUUGGAGCCAUUGGUAUGCCUGGCUUAACUUCCUUGAUUGGAAUACAGGAAAAAGGUCACAUAACUCCUGGAGCUAACCAGACCAUGGUUGUCAGUGGAGCUGCGGGGGCCUGUGGAUCCCUGGCUGGGCAGAUCGGCCAUUUGCUGGGCUGUUCCAGAGUGGUGGGAAUCUGUGGAACAGACGAGAAAUGCCUCUUGUUGACCUCAGAACUGGGCUUUGAUGCUGCAGUCAAUUACAAAAAAGACAACGUGUCGGAACGACUCCUUGAGCUGUGCCCCUCUGGGGUGGACGUGUACUUCGACAACGUUGGUGGUGACAUCAGUGAUGCAGUGAUCAGUCAGAUGAACCCUAACAGUCACAUCAUCUUGUGUGGGCAAAUCUCUCAGUACAACAAGGAUGUGCCCUACCCUCCCCCACUGCCUCCAGCAAUCCAAGCGAUCCUGAAGGAAAGAAACAUCACAAGGGAAAGAUUUCUGGUGCUGAAUUAUAAAGAUAAAUUUCAGCUUGGCAGUCUACAACUGAGUCAGUGGUUUAAAGAAGGAAAGCUAAAGCCAGGUCUGAGCUGGGGUGAAGCUAGGAGCCGGAAAGUUGAGCCGGAGAGUCAAACCGGUUUUCUCACGUGGGUAGUAGGAAUGCAACCUCUGGCGCCACCAUGGCUGCUCCCGGAUCAGCCUGAGCAGCAAGAAGAUGCACUCUGAUAUGGGAUGCAGGCAUUUCAAGCAGUCUCUGAUCAAAGAGACUGUGAUAAAUGGAUUGGAAAACAUGGGAGUUGCAUUCCAGUCCAUGAUGACAGGAGGUAACAUCGGAAAGCAGAUAGUUUGCAUUUCUGAAGAAAUCUCUGUGUAAUCUCCGUGUGUAUUCAUCAAGGAAAUAGACUUGUUUCCAUUUUGCACAGAUUUUUUUAAAACUGCUUUGAAAGCGUUAGAGUACAGGUAGCUCUUGAUUUCAAUGUGAUCACAGGUAACUUUUUCUUAGUUGCAGAAUUCUUUCCUAUAUCUUUAAUAUUAUAUAUAUAC